RNAcentral lists this ribosomal RNA (427 nucleotides) under uncultured Thermoanaerobacteraceae bacterium. RNAcentral's name for it is "bacterial SSU rRNA". It matches the Rfam family "Bacterial small subunit ribosomal RNA", at positions 1096 to 1533 of the family's 1533-position model. The record is from RNAcentral. Lineage: Bacteria; Bacillati; Bacillota; Clostridia; Thermoanaerobacterales; Thermoanaerobacteraceae.
GCGCAACCCCUGACCUUAGGUUGCCAGCACUUUCGGGUGGGCACUCUAAGGUGACUGCCGGUGACAAACCCGGAGGAAGGUGGGGAUGACGUCAAAUCAUCAUGCCCUUUAUGGCCUGGGCCACACACGUGCUACAAUGGCCGGUACAGCGGGAAGCGAAGGCGCGAGCCGGAGCAAAUCCCUAAAAGCCGGUCUCAGUUCGGAUUGCAGGCUGCAACUCGCCUGCAUGAAGGCGGAAUCGCUAGUAAUCGCGGAUCAGCAUGCCGCGGUGAAUACGUUCCCGGNCCUUGUACACACCGCCCGUCACACCAUGGGAGUUGGCAACACCCGAAGCCGGCGCUAAGCGCCGUCGAAGGUGGGGCCAGCGACUGGGGUGAAGUCGUAACAAGGUAGCCGUACCGGAAGGUGCGGCUGGAUCACCUCCUUA